ACGCACGCUGGCGGCGUGCUUCACACAUGCAAGUCGAACGGUGAAGCGCCUUCCUUUUUGGUGGGUGUGGAUGAGUGGCGAACGGGUGAGUAACACGUGAGUAACCUGCCCCCUUCUUCUGGAUAACCGCAUGAAAGUGUGGCUAAUACGGGAUAUUCUGGGUCUGUCGCAUGAUGGGUCUGGGAAAGAUAUUGUUUCGGUGGGGGAUGGGCUCGCGGCCUAUCAGCUUGUUGGUGGGGUGAUGGCCUACCAAGGCGGUGACGGGUAGCCGGCCUGAGAGGGUGGACGGUCACACUGGGACUGAGACACGGCACAGACUCCUAAGGGAGGCAGCAGUGGGGAAUAUUGCACAAUGGGCGCAAGCCUGAUGCAGCGACGCCGCGUGAGGGAUGGAGGCCUUCGGGUUGUGAACCUCUUUCGCCAGUGAAGCAGGCCUGCCUCGUUUGUGGGUGGGUUGACGGUAGCUGGAUAAGAAGCGCCGGCUAACUACGUG
RNAcentral lists this ribosomal RNA (493 nucleotides) under uncultured bacterium. Its description in RNAcentral is "partial 16S ribosomal RNA". It matches the Rfam family "Bacterial small subunit ribosomal RNA", at positions 29 to 507 of the family's 1533-position model. The record is from RNAcentral.